RNAcentral lists this ribosomal RNA (497 nucleotides) under uncultured bacterium. Its description in RNAcentral is "partial 16S ribosomal RNA". It matches the Rfam family "Bacterial small subunit ribosomal RNA", at positions 28 to 507 of the family's 1533-position model. The record is from RNAcentral.
GAUGAACGCUGGCGGCGUGCCUAAUACAUGCAAGUCGAGCGAACAGACGAGGAGCUUGCUCCUCUGACGUUAGCGGCGGACGGGUGAGUAACACGUGGAUAACCUACCUAUAAGACUGGGAUAACUUCGGGAAACCGGAGCUAAUACCGGAUAAUAUAUUGAACCGCAUGGUUCAAUAGUGAAAGACGGUUUUGCUGUCACUUAUAGAUGGAUCCGCGCCGCAUUAGCUAGUUGGUAAGUUAACGGCUUACCAAGGCAACGAUGCGUAGCCGACCUGAGAGGGUGAUCGGCCACAUUGGAACUGAGACACGGUCCAGACUCCUACGGGAGGCAGCAGUAGGGAAUCUUCCGCAAUGGGCGAAAGCCUGACGGAGCAACGCCGCGUGAGUGAUGAAGGUCUUCGGAUCGUAAAACUCUGUUAUUAGGGAAGAACAAAUGUGUAAGUAACUAUGCACGUCUUGACGGUACCUAAUCAGAAAGCCACGGCUAACUACGUG